Molecule: non-coding RNA, 3283 nt
Organism: Xyrichtys novacula (pearly razorfish)
Lineage: Eukaryota; Metazoa; Chordata; Actinopteri; Labriformes; Labridae
Source: the annotation of a GenBank genome assembly
AAACAAGCGGCUGCUGGAAGAGAGUAGGUGAGUUGUGUUUAGUCUCUUUGCUAAAGAAAUCAGGCAAAGUUAAAAAGAUGUUUGAUGGCUAGUACUAUGGCUGGGACCCUUUAUGUACUGUUGAUGAAGUUAGGUGCUGUUCUGAGCAUUAUUUGUGGCUAUAGAGUGGCGUUUUGGUUGAGGUUUGUUUAUGGCUCCUCAGACCGCUGUGUAUUGCUAUCCUGCGGUCGUUACUAAAGUUGGUAUAACUAGAGAAGCAAGCGGUCGGCAACAUUCAUCUCUCGAGGGGAUGUCUAACUCGGUGUUACGGUGUGUUUAACCCUAGCUUAAUUUUACCCCAGAAUAUCCCUUUAAAGUACAGAUAGGGCUAAAAGGUAACGCUCAGUCUACUAGUGGUUGGGGUUCUUGACAGCAAAGCAACUGAGUUUAGAACAGUUAUUUCUUAGCUGAUCUGAGUUUUUAGAUUACACAGAGAAAUGCAGAAUCUGUACCACAGGGUCUGGAUUUUCAGCAUGGGCAGUGUUCAGGUUCCUGUGUACGGUAUGUUUGUAGUCUGAUUAGUAUUGACCAGUCCUGAUUCAGCAGUCUUUGGUGAAAACAAGGUUUCCGGCGACAGCAUCACCCACUGUCAGUCAUAUCAGCCCCCCCAUAAUAAUGCCUGAACCUAAAGAGGAACUUUUCAACACAGAGGUUAAAGGGAUUUUCUUGGUUUUUAGAGCCGGCCUCAAGUGGACACUAAGGGAACUGCAGGUUUUUAGCACAUCUGCAUCAGCUUCUUUUGCAGCAUAGGAGGUCAGGGCUGAGUUUUCUUCAUGGUUUUAUGUUUUGAAACUCAGGCGCACAUUUGUUUUUUCUUUUUCGACUAUAGAGGAGGUCUGUUUGUUUGAAGAGGCACAACGUGUGAUUUGUUUAGGUGCAGAGGUUUUACAGUUUUGAGUCACUGGGUUACAAUGAAAUGUCACAGCUGCCUCUGGAAAAAAAGAAAAAAGAAAAGAAAAACCAUUAUAACAGUGCAUCUCACCCACAGUCUAUUCAUAGGUUAAAGCUUGUACAUGGAAAAAUACGCCCAGCAUGACCACAUGUUUGAGAUCUACAGUAUUCAGAGGAGCUGCGAGCACGGUGGAGGAGGUUUGGACAAUGAUUUGCUGCAGACCGGCACACAGCAGGCCCAUUAUCUGCCAAUUUAGGACAGUUCACUUCCUUGUCAACAUCCUGGUCUCGGGCAAAACCUCCGUCUCAUCCCUCUUUGUCUCAUUAUUGGAGCUUGUUGUCGAGUUAGGUCAGAGAAUGGGAAUAACUGAUGAGCAGAACCUCCCUCCCCUCCUAGACUCUCUCUCGGGGUAUCAUUUGCGGGGGCUGGAUGCAGAGGAGGAGGAGGAGGAUGGGGUGAGGGCGGUGGAUGAUAUAAGCGCAGAGUUUUAAUGAGGACUGGGACAGCAGAGUCAUCUACUUAUCUGUCACUCAUACUCCUUUCAUCGCUCCCCUCCCCCCCAGCGAGAUGGUGAGAUAGACAGAGUGAGCAGAGGGGCGGAGAGAAGGGCGGAGAGGGAGGGGAAUGGUUAGAGAGGGUUAGGCAAGAGGCACAUCACUUAUUUAUUUAUGGUUAUAAAAUGUUCUGCCCUUCUGUUCUGUUCCCCUCUCUUUUCAUGCAGUCGUUUUUUUUUCUCCUCUUAAUUCAAAUUCAAGAGGGUGAAUACAGAAAUUUCUGAUAUCCUUUUCAAAGGACCCGGCCCCCUUUAGCAUCGAGCACAGGAGGAAGAGGAGGAGGAGGAGCUGAGGUUUAGUUACAGUGUGGCAUGAAUCUGACAUUUAUUGUGUGCGCCUGUGUGCCUGUGUGUAUGUGUGCGUGCAAGUGUGUGUGUGUGUAAGCCUAUUAGCAUUCCCCUUGAGCCUGGUUCCUUCUGUGUGUGUGUUAUUAAUAAAACAUGCAGUAGAUAUCCUGAAGGAGGCCAUACCAUUAAUUUAAUCCAUAUGAAUGAUUGCAUUCAUAGCUGCAUGUUUUUGUCCAUAAACCGAGUCACAUUAAGCCGCAAAAACCAUCAAGUUAAAGAGUAAAAUCAGAGAGCACUUUGGAUUCCAGGACAGUAAACAUUUCUGGAGUCAGUAUUUUGCAGGAUAUCUUCAGUAAAUAUUUCAUUUUUAAUCCUAUUUUUUUCUAAGAGUCAAAAAUGUGUUCACUGCAAAACAGAAAAGCCGUCUAAAAACCCACUUUUACUCCUUGGCUUUUGGCCCAGCAUGAGACGGCAUUUGUUUUAUUGCUUUUUAUUAUAUUUUAAAACAACUAUUUAUUGUUUUUUUUAUUAUGUUAUUAUGUACAGCGCGCUCUAUAAAUAAAGUUGAGUUGAGAUUUAAAAAAAUAGAAAAAUUAAAGCUCCUGUGAGAAGUUUUCAACUUAUUAUGAAAUAGAUUGAAAUUAGUGCAGAUGCCUCCCAGCAAACAAGACCUGCAGGAAGAAGUCUGAGUAUUUCUAAAUAUUAAUUUUCAGUGACUAAAAUCACUACAAGGGGGUCGGUGUCACAUGACAAAAACAUUGCACUGCUUAAACAAACCUCAUAAACUACACUCAGUCUUAUGUUUGCUGUUUAAAGAAAGCCGGAUGACAUUUUUGUCACAUGUUCAGAUUAAAAGCAAAGCGAUAAAAAGUCCUCUUUUGUCUGCAGGUGGCGCCAAAAUCAACACAAACUAAAGUUCCUUAUAGAAGCUUUUAUUAAACACUCAACCCAGUCUGACACACUUUACAUGACACUCGAGAAAACUGAAUUACUGCUGAACUCCGAUUUAGACCGGACAACUGAAGGUCAUGUAAACACCUUAGUCCGACUAGAAUCAGAGUUUGAGAACUCCGAUUAAGACACUCAGAUAAUGCGAUUGGAAUUGGAUUUUCUCUACCGUGUAACCAGCAUAGUCAGAGUAUGAUCGGACAAUGCAUGUGCGCAACGCCUCCGUAAUCCAGAACAGAAACACCAGAGAAGAAGUGGCGCUAUCAUUUAAAGAACUUUUGCCUCAGAAGCGACUGCAACAUGGCUGAAGCACCACAGAACGUCCACUUUUGGAACAACGAGGAGAGCGCCGUUAUGCUUUCCAUCCUGACAGAAAUGGACAUUUUAAAGUAUAUAGAUGGUUGCAAAAUGAGGAACAGAGACACCUUAAAAAAAGGUCUGGAAACAGCGCAGCUGAAGAGACCCAUACCGCCCCCUAGUUUUGGGGAGGAGGACACGUUCACGUCAAUAAUUCGAUUUUCUCAGCUGUAUGUAUACGCGGACAAGGGGAGAAGUUCGAAAAA